This 442-nucleotide ribosomal RNA is filed under the name uncultured bacterium. Its description in RNAcentral is "partial 16S ribosomal RNA". It matches the Rfam family "Bacterial small subunit ribosomal RNA", at positions 338 to 795 of the family's 1533-position model. The record is from RNAcentral.
CCUACGGGUGGCAGCAGUGGGGAAUAUUGGGCAAUGGGCGCAAGCCUGACCCAGCAACGCCGCGUGAAGGAAGAAGGCUUUCGGGUUGUAAACUUCUUUUGACAGGGAAGAGUAGAAGACGGUACCUGUCGAAUAAGCCACGGCUAACUACGUGCCAGCAGCCGCGGUAAUACGUAGGUGGCAAGCGUUGUCCGGAUUUACUGGGUGUAAAGGGCGUGUAGCCGGGUUGACAAGUCAGAUGUGAAAUCCUGCGGCUUAACCGCAGAACUGCAUUUGAAACUGUUGAUCUUGAGUACUGGAGAGGCAGACGGAAUUCCUAGUGUAGCGGUGAAAUGCGUAGAUAUUAGGAGGAACACCAGUGGCGAAGGCAGCUUACCAAGCUACUUCUGACGUUGAGGCACGAAAGCGUGGGGAGCAAACAGGAUUAGAUACCCGUGUAGUC